This 490-nucleotide ribosomal RNA is filed under the name uncultured bacterium. RNAcentral's name for it is "bacterial SSU rRNA". It matches the Rfam family "Bacterial small subunit ribosomal RNA", at positions 15 to 507 of the family's 1533-position model. The record is from RNAcentral.
GAUCAUGGCUCAGAUUGAACGCUGGCGGCAUGCCUUACACAUGCAAGUCGAACGGUAGAGGGGGCAACCCUUGAGAGUGGCGAACGGGUGAGUAAUAUAUCGGAACGUGCCCAGUCGUGGGGAUAACGUAGCGAAAGUUACGCUAAUACCGCAUACGAUCUAAGGAUGAAAGCGGGGGAUCGCAAGACCUCGCGCGAUUGGAGCGGCCGAUAUCAGAUUAGGUAGUUGGUGAGGUAAAGGCUCACCAAGCCGACGAUCUGUAGCUGGUCUGAGAGGACGACCAGCCACACUGGGACUGAGACACGGCCCAGACUCCUACGGGAGGCAGCAGUGGGGAAUUUUGGACAAUGGGCGCAAGCCUGACCCAGCAAUGCCGCGUGCAGGAUGAAGGCCUUCGGGUUGUAAACUGCUUUGUACGGAACGAAACGGUGAGCUCUAAUACAGUUUGCUAAUGACGGUACCGUAAGAAUAAGCACCGGCUAACUACGUG